GCUAGGCCCUUUUGCACUUCUAUGCUGCUGCCAUGGAGAACAUAGCAUUUGUUUCUUCUGGGGGAUGCAGAGGCAGGCAUCAUCUUGGAAGCAGACACAAGGCCCUUGCCAGACAGCAACCCUGUUGGUACCCUGACUUUGGACUUCUGGCUUCCAGAACUGACAGAAGUUGCUGGAUUUUGAAUCACAUGAAUUUGCAGCCAUGGUCACAACUAGAGACUGGAGACUGGCCUCGAGGGAGACCUGUUGGCUUCUGCAGUUGCCUGGCCUGAGAGCUAUGUCUUAGAGGAGUGGAGCCAAGGGAAUAAGGACUCAAACAACAAAUAAGUUGUGAUUCCUGUGCUCCUGAGUCUAGGAGAGGUCAUGAAGUAAAUGGAUCAUUGGAAGUGAUCAUUGGAAGUACAGCGAAGUGACACAGAGAAGGUUCAAGCUGCUGUUGGAGCACGUGGGAAGCAUUAGGAAGACUGUGUCAAUCAAAGCAAAAACCCUUUUCCCUUCCUGUGAUCUUUGCCAAAGAGAUGCGGGGUGACUGGAGAAAGGACACUUGACCUUCAUGUGUCAUGGUAAUAACUAAAAAUUGAAAGUGGAGAGAUGGUUCUGAAAUUUCUGAGCCUAAAUUAGUGGGACAUAGGUUUUGAAAUGAGGAACUAUGCAUCUGACUGAUAGCCCUUCAAAAACAACAAAAACUAACAGCAAAUUAGACUCUCCUUUUUGUCAUUUAUUUAAUGAUUUGUUACAGGAUACAAAUUGUUAUGGUGAUAUAAGAUAUAUCUGAGUUGAGAAGAGACUGUAAAAAAUAAUCUAGGAGUUUAAAACAUAUACAAUGUUUUUUCCUUGUUUGAUUUUUUAAAUUCUCAGCAACUGGCUUAACAUGACCUGACUAUUCCAAGGUGGCCAUUCACCCUUUUAGAGCAAAAUAAAAAAUUUUUAACUUAUCACCAGCUAACAAAACAGAAGCAUGGAAGUGGA
Long non-coding RNA from Marmota flaviventris (yellow-bellied marmot), 969 nucleotides. RefSeq lists it as uncharacterized. The record is from RefSeq and is a predicted model, not a curated record. NCBI's taxonomy places the organism in Eukaryota, Metazoa, Chordata, Mammalia, Rodentia, Sciuridae.